This is a non-coding RNA of Erinaceus europaeus (western European hedgehog), 104 nucleotides long. The record is from Rfam. Lineage: Eukaryota; Metazoa; Chordata; Mammalia; Eulipotyphla; Erinaceidae.
GUUCUCACUUCGGUAGCCCAUAUAUUAAAAUUGGAACUAUACAGAGAUUAGCAUGACCCCUGUGCAAAGAUGACAUGAAAAUUCAUAAAGCGUUCCAUAUAUUU